GUCAGACAGUGUCAGAUAAAUGUCAUUGUCAAAAGGGAAACAGCCCAGAUCUACAGCUAAGGUCCCAAAGUCAGGUUAAGUGGAAAACGAUGUGAAGAUACGUAGACAACCAGGAUGUUGGCUCAGAAGCAGCCACACAUUCAAAGAGUGCGUAAUAGCUCACUGGUCGAGCGUCUUUGCGCGGAGAAUUUAACGGGGCUAAACCUGACACCGAAGCUUAGGCAAUACAGCAAUGUAUUGGGUAGGGGAGCGUUGUAUACGCGGUGAAACAGUAGCGCAAGCGGCUGUGGAGUGUAUAGAAGUGAGAAUGCCGGAAUGAGUAGCGCGAAUGCAGUGAGAAUCUGCAUGGCCGAAAGCCUCAGGUUUCUGGAGGAAGGUUCGUCCGCUCCAGGUUAGUCGGGAGCUAAGGUGAGGCCUAACGGCGUAGCCGAUGCACAGACGGUAGAGAUUCCGUCACCACCAAAAGAGUUAAGCACAGGGACACAUUUGAAGUCUCGGAGCCGGGUGUUGGUUCCGGUAGCGAUCGAGGGAAAUUAGUACCGAAGUCCGGGAUGGAAGAUGGCGAGAAAAGCUGUGUGUAUUUCUGCGGUGCCCGUACCGCAAACCGACACAGGUAGGUAGGAAGAAGAUUCUAAGGCCAACGGGAGAAGGGUUGUUAAGGAACUCGGCAAAUUGACCCCGUAACUUCGGGAGAAGGGGUGCUCCAGAGAUGGAGCCGCAGAGAAUCGGCCCAAGCAACUGUUUACCAAAAACACAGGUUUGUGCUAAAUCGAAAGAUGACGUAUACGAGCUGACGCCUGCCCGGUGCUGGAAGGUUAAGAGGAGAUGUGCAAGCAUUGAAUCGAAGCCCCAGUGAACGGCGGCCGUAACUAUAACGGUCCUAAGGUAGCGAAAUUCCUUGUCAGGUAAGUUCUGACCCGCACGAAUGGCGUAACGAUUUGGGCACUGUCUCAACAGCCCGCCCGGCGAAAUUGUAGUACCGGUGAAGAUGCCGGUUUCCCGCAACUAGACGGAAAGACCCCAUGGAGCUUCACUGUAGCUCUGUCUCUUAUACACAUCUGACGCUGCCGACGACUAG
RNAcentral lists this ribosomal RNA (1078 nucleotides) under human gut metagenome. Its description in RNAcentral is "bacterial LSU rRNA". It matches the Rfam family "Bacterial large subunit ribosomal RNA", at positions 983 to 2146 of the family's 2925-position model. The record is from RNAcentral.